ACUCCUACGGGAGGCAGCAGUGGGGAAUUUUGGACAAUGGGCGAAAGCCUGAUCCAGCAAUGCCGCGUGAGUGAAGAAGGCCUUCGGGUUGUAAAGCUCUUUUGUCAGGGAAGAAACGGUGAGAGCUAAUAUCUCUUGCUAAUGACGGUACCUGAAGAAUAAGCACCGGCUAACUACGUGCCAGCAGCCGCGGUAAUACGUAGGGUGCAAGCGUUAAUCGGAAUUACUGGGCGUAAAGCGUGCGCAGGCGGUUUUGUAAGUCUGAUGUGAAAUCCCCGGGCUCAACCUGGGAAUUGCAUUGGAGACUGCAAGGCUAGAAUCUGGCAGAGGGGGAUAGAAUUCCACGUGUAGCAGUGAAAUGCGUAGAUAUGUGGAGGAACACCGAUGGCGAAGGCAGCCCCCUGGGUCAAGAUUGACGCUCAUGCACGAAAGCGUGGGGAGCAAACAGGAUUAGAUACCCCAGUAGUCCCAUG
Molecule: ribosomal RNA, 473 nt
Filed under: uncultured organism
Description: partial 16S ribosomal RNA
Rfam family: Bacterial small subunit ribosomal RNA
Source: RNAcentral